AGUGAACGCUGGCGGUAGGCCUAACACAUGCAAGUCGAACGGCAGCACAGUAAGAGCUUGCUCUUACGGGUGGCGAGUGGCGGACGGGUGAGGAAUACAUCGGAAUCUACUUUUUCGUGGGGGAUAACGUAGGGAAACUUACGCUAAUACCGCAUACGACCUCCGGGUGAAAGCAGGGGAUCUUCGGACCUUGCGCGAUUGAAUGAGCCGAUGUCGGAUUAGCUAGUUGGCGGGGUAAAGGCCCACCAAGGCGACGAUCCGUAGCUGGUCUGAGAGGAUGAUCAGCCACACUGGAACUGAGACACGGUCCAGACUCCUACGGGAGGCAGCAGUGGGGAAUAUUGGACGAUGGGCGCAAGCCUGAUCCAGCCAUACCGCGUGGGUGAAGAAGGCCUUCGGGUUGUAAAGCCCUUUUGUUGGGAAAGAAAAGCAGCAGGUUAAUACCCCGCUGUUCUGACGGUACCCAAAGAAUAAGCACCGGCUAACUUCGUG
This 492-nucleotide ribosomal RNA is filed under the name uncultured bacterium. RNAcentral describes it as "partial 16S ribosomal RNA". It matches the Rfam family "Bacterial small subunit ribosomal RNA", at positions 29 to 507 of the family's 1533-position model. The record is from RNAcentral.